UACAGCCAUAUCAUGUUGAAACACUUUGUUUUUGUACAAUCACCAAAGUUAAGCAAGAUCAAGCCUGGUCAGUACUUAUAUGGGUGACCACUUGGGAAUACCAGGUGCUGUAA
Molecule: ribosomal RNA, 113 nt
Filed under: Acanthosepion pharaonis
Lineage: Eukaryota; Metazoa; Mollusca; Cephalopoda; Sepiida; Sepiidae
Source: RNAcentral